This 441-nucleotide ribosomal RNA is filed under the name uncultured bacterium. RNAcentral describes it as "bacterial SSU rRNA". It matches the Rfam family "Bacterial small subunit ribosomal RNA", at positions 355 to 786 of the family's 1533-position model. The record is from RNAcentral.
UGGGGAAUAUUGCGCAAUGGGCGAAAGCCUGACGCAGCGACGCCGCGUGAGGGAUGAAGGUUUUCGGAUCGUAAACCUCUGUCAGAAGGGAAGAAGUUGCAUGGGGCCAAUCACCUGUGCAUUGACGGUACCUUCAAAGGAAGCACCGGCUAACUCCGUGCCAGCAGCCGCGGUAAUACGGAGGGUGCGAGCGUUAAUCGGAAUUACUGGGCGUAAAGCGCACGUAGGCUGUAUGUCAAGUCAAGGGUGAAAUCCCACGGCUCAACCGUGGAACUGCCUUUGAAACUGGCAAACUGGAGUAUGUGAGAGGGCGGCGGAAUUCCUGGUGUAGGAGUGAAAUCCGUAGAUAUCAGGAGGAACAUCAGUGGCGAAGGCGGCCGCCUGGCACAAAAGCUGACGCUGAGGUGCGAAAGCGUGGGGUAGCAAACAGGAUUAGAUACC